GCUCCUUUCCCAGCGAGCAGCCACACACACACACUCCUGCUCGUGCUUGCCCAAGGACAGCAGCUACCCAGGGUAUUCUGGUUUGUAUUGGUGCUUCUUGCAGCCAACAUAAAAAUGAAGGGACUUGACUGUCAAGAAGGACUCCUUGCCUUCACUGGAAAUAAUUCAGCAUCCUACAGGCUUUGAGCAGCAGAAAAUCACGAAGGACUGGGAAGCUGGUCAGGGUAUCCCAGCAGUGCUGGCCCCUCACUGGGGUAAAGCGAUGGGCCCUAUAGUGCACUGUGGUGCCCGACUCCUCCGCUUCGGGUCUGCCCGUUGGAACAGCCACUGCAUCCACAGCUCCCCACCCGAGGAGAAAGUGGGACUGGUGGAGACGAUCGUUGGAUUCUCAGCAUUUUCACUGGCAGUUCUUGGACCGGCUGGAUGGGUCCUGUGCCACCUUUCAAGCUAUAAAAAGAAACAGAAAACAUCCCUUCAAGAUUAAGAUCUGGAGGCUGCAAUAAGCUGUAAUGCUCCUAAAUUGGAGUCUCUUGAAAGGGAGAACACAGGGGCUCGAGGGUCACUUUAAAACAAAAUGACUGAGCCGUGAGUUCAGGUUUUAAGUACGUUGCACUGCUUCUGUAAGAAAAAAAAGAGUCCAGAUAGAGAAUAUGGCUAACUAAAGUCCCAGCUCACACACUAUCAUCUGUCCUGUGGCUCAGGUCCCAGGUCAGAAAGCUUUUGCAAGACCAGAUAUAAAAUGGUGUAGUGAUGCAAAAUAGUAGUAGUUCUGCUCUUCCAUUUCCUGCUGCAGCUGGAUCAGUCCGAAUCUGUCAUCAGGUACCAUCAAAGCUUUACACUAAAUAAAUGGGAGAAAAUACAAACAUUUAUUUAAUAGCACUUUCAUUUAUACUAAUCUCAGACAAAAACUCAGAGAAUCUAAAAUGAUUCUCUUAAAAGUUUAUCUUUAACCUUUACAUGUGUUCUUUUUGAUGUGUUCCCCCACCUAAUCUACUUUUCCAGCAGAAUAGAUGUUUUUAUACAGGUCAUGGUUGUCAGAUACUUCAAUUAAUUUUCAAUUUUUAGAUUAAAAUUUGUGACAUUUGAGUGAUUUUCCCAUGGUUGUUAUUUGUAAUGAAUGCUAUGAUACUUUGAAGUCUAGACUAUAUUUGAAACAAGUACAAUAAAUAAUACUUGUUAUGCCAUGUUAUAUGUGUUAUAAAGGAAUGUCUUCUAAUACUUUCAUGUCUGUCUUGCAAAAAAUACAGAAUAUUAACCUUUUGUGAUGCUUAAAUAUUAUUGCAGUUGUGAUGAUUAAGUAUUAGUAGAAUAUGAUUUAUAAUUCCACCAAGUCAUUUGCAAUGUGUAAUAGCAAAAUAGAUUCUGAAAGGAGGGCUGUAAAUGUGUAAAAGUGUCCAUUCUUGCUGUACUUCUGAAGUAUGAUUUACAACUAAAUUGUCUGAGUUCCCUUUGGUCUUUUAGACACAACUGAAGUUUUCAGAGUGAAAGUGGAGGCACCCUGAUUGUUUAAAGAAAGUAGUAUUUGUUUAUUCUUUCCAAAAAACUGUAGCUUUGUCACUGAAUUGAAUGGCCUGCGCUGAAAGCUGCGUUACAUAUGUGGAAAGUUUCCUGCAGUUCUUAAUUUUGGGUAGGUGCCUACAUUCCUGGUAUCCAGAGAAAAACCCGUGCCAGUGUCUGAAAUGCAGCUGGGUGGAUAUUCUGUGAAAGUGUGCUCCUGCACACUGUGAGAGCAUCCACUGAAAUCAAUGGGGCUGUUUUGCAGAAUCUUUUGUAAAAAAUGGUUUUGAAUAUUUCAGUGUGCCUGCUUGUCCUGCAUCUGGUUUGGUCAUCCAUCUCUCACCCAGUAAUAUCUAAAUAAAUCAUUAAGAUAUGACAUUUCA
This is a long non-coding RNA of Columba livia (rock pigeon), 1880 nucleotides long. RefSeq lists it as uncharacterized. NCBI's taxonomy places the organism in Eukaryota, Metazoa, Chordata, Aves, Columbiformes, Columbidae. The transcript is spliced from 2 exons. The record is from RefSeq and is a predicted model, not a curated record.